RNAcentral lists this ribosomal RNA (468 nucleotides) under uncultured bacterium. RNAcentral describes it as "partial 16S ribosomal RNA". It matches the Rfam family "Bacterial small subunit ribosomal RNA", at positions 28 to 507 of the family's 1533-position model. The record is from RNAcentral.
GACGAACGCUGGCGGCGUGCUUAACACAUGCAAGUCGAACGGAAAGGCCCUGCGUUUGUGGGGUGCUCGAGUGGCGAACGGGUGAGUAACACGUGAGUAACCUGCCCUUGACUUUGGGAUAACUUAAGGAAACUGGGGCUAAUACCGGAUAGGAGCUCCUGCUGCAUGGUGGGGGUUGGAAAUUUUCGGCGUUUGGGGAUGGACGCGCGGCUUAUCAGCUUGUUGGUGGGGUAGUGGCAGACCAAGGCUUGGACGGGUCGGCGGCCUGAGAGGGUGACCGGCCACCAUGGGCCUGAGAUAGGCCGCAGACUGCAACGGGGGGCAACAGUGGGAAAUAUUGCACAGUGGGCGGGAGUGUGAUACAGCAGCGCCGGGGGCGUGAUGCCGGUUUGUGGGGUAAAAACCGCUUCCGCCUGUUACGCCGCGUUUGUGACGGUACCGGGUGAAGAAGCACCGGCUAACUACGUG